RNAcentral lists this transfer RNA (66 nucleotides) under Gampsocleis gratiosa gratiosa. RNAcentral describes it as "tRNA-Asp". Lineage: Eukaryota; Metazoa; Arthropoda; Insecta; Orthoptera; Tettigoniidae. The record is from RNAcentral.
AAGAAAUUAGUUAAUAAAUAACAUUAGUAUGUCAUACUAAAAUAAUUAAAAACUUAAUAUUUCUUU